AGAGUUUGAUCCUGGCUCAGGACGAACGCUGGCGGCGUGCUUAACACAUGCAAGUCGAACGGUUUAUAACGGGCUUGGCCCUUAUAGAUAGUGGCGAACGGGUGCGGUAACACGUGUAGCAACCUGCCCCAAAGUUUGGAAUAACACCGGGAAACCGAUGCUAAUACCGAAAUAUGCUCACACUAUCACAAGAUAGAGUGAGGAAAGUUUUUCGCUUUGGGAGGGGCUCGCGGCCUAUCAGCUUGUUGGUGAGGUAACGGCUCACCAAGGCAUCGACGGGUAGCUGGUCUGAGAGGACGAUCAGCCACACUGGGACUGAGACACGGCCCAGACUCCUACGGGA
Molecule: ribosomal RNA, 343 nt
Filed under: uncultured prokaryote
Description: bacterial SSU rRNA
Rfam family: Bacterial small subunit ribosomal RNA
Source: RNAcentral